AAAUUACCGGUUCUCGUUAGAUCACCGUAAGCCAAGCAUCAUUGGGCGCGGCCAGUACUUGGGUGGGUGACCACCUGAAGAACACCGCGUGCCGUU
Molecule: ribosomal RNA, 96 nt
Filed under: Caerostris extrusa
Lineage: Eukaryota; Metazoa; Arthropoda; Arachnida; Araneae; Araneidae
Source: RNAcentral